RNAcentral lists this ribosomal RNA (440 nucleotides) under uncultured bacterium. RNAcentral's name for it is "partial 16S ribosomal RNA". It matches the Rfam family "Bacterial small subunit ribosomal RNA", at positions 338 to 795 of the family's 1533-position model. The record is from RNAcentral.
CCUACGGGUGGCAGCAGUAGGGAAUAUUGCUCAAUGGGGGAAACCCUGAAGCAGCAACGCCGCGUGGAGGAUGAAGGUUUUAGGAUUGUUAACCCCUUUUGUUAGAGAAGAUAAUGACGGUAUCUAACGAAUAAGCACCGGCUAACUCCGUGCCAGCAGCCGCGGUAAUACGGAGGGUGCAAGCGUUACUCGGAAUCACUGGGCGUAAAGAGCGCGUAGGCGGGUUAGAAAGUCAGAUGUGAAAUCAUAUGGCUUAACCAUAGAACUGCAUUUGAAACUGUUAUUCUUGAGUAUGGGAGAGGUAGGCGGAAUGCGUGGUGUAGCGGUAAAAUCCGUAGAGAUCAAGCGGAAUACUCAUUGCGAAGGCGACCUGCUAGAACAUAACUGACGCUGAUGCGCGAAAGCGUGGGGAGCAAACAGGAGUAGAUACCCGUGUAGUC